GGCCGCGGAGAUCGCGUCCAGGUACGCGGCCCUGGCAAGGCCGGGGUCUACGGGUUCGAAUUUCCUGGCCGCGGUCA
This 77-nucleotide transfer RNA is filed under the name Mycolicibacterium holsaticum. RNAcentral's name for it is "tRNA-Ala". Lineage: Bacteria; Bacillati; Actinomycetota; Actinomycetes; Mycobacteriales; Mycobacteriaceae. The record is from RNAcentral. RNAcentral also lists the same sequence under 1 other name.